RNAcentral lists this ribosomal RNA (508 nucleotides) under uncultured bacterium. Its description in RNAcentral is "partial 16S ribosomal RNA". It matches the Rfam family "Bacterial small subunit ribosomal RNA", at positions 30 to 523 of the family's 1533-position model. The record is from RNAcentral.
AUUGAACGCUGGCGGCAUGCCUUACACAUGCAAGUCGAACGGCAGCGGGGGAGAAGCUUGCUUUUCCUGCCGGCGAGUGGCGAACGGGUGAGUAAUACAUCGGAACGUGCCCUGUAGUGGGGGAUAACUAGUCGAAAGAUUAGCUAAUACCGCAUACGACCUGAGGGUGAAAGUGGGGGACCGCAAGGCCUCAUGCUAUAGGAGCGGCCGAUGUCUGAUUAGCUAGUUGGUGGGGUAAAGGCCUACCAAGGCGACGAUCAGUAGCUGGUCUGAGAGGACGAGCAGCCACACUGGGACUGAGACACGGCCCAGACUCCUACGGGAGGCAGCAGUGGGGAAUUUUGGACAAUGGGCGAGAGCCUGAUCCAGCAAUGCCGCGUGUGUGAAGAAGGCCUUCGGGUUGUAAAGCACUUUUGUCCGGAAAGAAAUGGCUCUGGUUAAUACCUGGGGUCGAUGACGGUACCGGAAGAAUAAGGACCGGCUAACUACGUGCCAGCCGCCGCGGUAA